This 251-nucleotide long non-coding RNA is filed under the name Glycine max (soybean). RNAcentral describes it as "long non-coding RNA (GMAX_LNC001856)". Lineage: Eukaryota; Viridiplantae; Streptophyta; Magnoliopsida; Fabales; Fabaceae. The record is from RNAcentral.
GCUUGAGAGGACAGUUUAUUGAAAUGUUGAAAACCUUCUCUUAACAAACUUCAAGGAUGGCUCCAAAUUCAUAGUUGUUGAAGAUUUGAGAAUUCAUGCAGUCUACAAAAUGGUUGCAAUCUGAGUAGGGCAUGAUGGAGAUUUUGUUUGGAUAUCCAAUUGAUAGUUGUUUGGAAAGCUAUUGCUUCUGCUUCCUGUGGUAGCGGAUUGCCUAUAAACCAGGUUGUCUUUGCUGAUUGGAAAUGACCCUG